This 497-nucleotide ribosomal RNA is filed under the name uncultured bacterium. RNAcentral describes it as "partial 16S ribosomal RNA". It matches the Rfam family "Bacterial small subunit ribosomal RNA", at positions 28 to 507 of the family's 1533-position model. The record is from RNAcentral.
GAUGAACGCUGGCGGCGUGCCUAAUACAUGCAAGUCGAGCGAACAGAUGAGGAGCUUGCUCCUCUGACGUUAGCGGCGGACGGGUGAGUAACACGUGGAUAACCUACCUAUAAGACUGGGAUAACUUCGGGAAACCGGAGCUAAUACCGGAUAAUAUAUUGAACCGCAUGGUUCAAUAGUGAAAGACGGUUUUGCUGUCACUUAUAGAUGGAUCCGCGCCGCAUUAGCUAGUUGGUAAGGUAACGGCUUACCAAGGCAACGAUGCGUAGCCGACCUGAGAGGGUGAUAGGCCACCCUGGAACUGAGACACGGUCCAGACUCCUACGGGAGGGAGCAGUAGGGAAUCUUCCGCAAUGGGCGAAAGCCUGACGGAGCAACGGCGAGUGAGUGAUGAAGGUCUUCGGAUCGUAAAAAUGUGUUAUUAGGGAAGAACAAAUGUGUAAGUAACUAUGCACGUAUUGACGGUACCUAAUCAGAAAGCCACGGCUAACUACGUG